This 560-nucleotide long non-coding RNA is filed under the name Coffea arabica (coffee). RNAcentral describes it as "long non-coding RNA (CARA_LNC005129)". Lineage: Eukaryota; Viridiplantae; Streptophyta; Magnoliopsida; Gentianales; Rubiaceae. The record is from RNAcentral.
UGAAAAUGAGCCACCAAUGUCUGAGGUUAAGAUAGUUGAAAAAGUUUGCCGAAAAAAUUCCAGUUAUAUCUAUGAGAAACCUCGUGGAGUCAAACCUCCAUCUCGAAGGUAGUAUAUUAGGGGAACCAAUGGCAGCAACAAUAGACAAAUGGAGAGCAUCAUUGCUGAGCAAAAGUCACAACUGGAGGCUGCACAUUCUAAAAUUGAGGAACAACAAGCUCAACUUCGGUGCCUAUAAGAGUCAAUAGAUUGGUUGAUGGCAGAAGCGAAAAGCAGGACUGUAGCUAAUGCCAAUAGCUAAUUUUAUAAAUUAAGAAGGUAAGAUAUUCUAAAUUUUGAAUGCUGGUUAGUAGCUAAAAUAUCUAGUUGUAUCAUCAUUCUUUCAAACAAUUUUAGUUUAUGAUGUCACCAAUUUAUACUUCUGUGUGAUGAUAUCAAUACGAAUCUCAAAUAAUAUGAACGCAUAGAGGCUGUCCUCUAUUAUUUCUGGUAAUACACUAUGACAAAAUGAUGAAUGGAUGUGAUGCAAGCUAUAUGUGGUUUUGGAAAGCAAUAUAUGG